Molecule: ribosomal RNA, 255 nt
Filed under: uncultured bacterium
Lineage: Bacteria
Description: partial 16S ribosomal RNA
Rfam family: Bacterial small subunit ribosomal RNA
Source: RNAcentral
UACGUAGGGUGCGAGCGUUUGUCCGGAAUUAUUGGGCGUAAAGAGCUUGUAGGCGGUUUGUCGCGUCUGCCGUGAAAAGCCCAGGGCUUAACCCUGGGUCUGCGGUGGGUACGGGCAGACUAAGAGUGUGGUAGGGGAGACUGGAAUUCUGGUGUAGCGGUGAAAUGCGCAGAUAUCAGGAGGAACACCGGUGGCGAAGGCGGGUCUCUGGGCAGUAACUGACGCUGAGGAGCGAAAGCGUGGGGAGCGAACAGG